RNAcentral lists this ribosomal RNA (511 nucleotides) under uncultured Actinomycetes bacterium. RNAcentral describes it as "bacterial SSU rRNA". It matches the Rfam family "Bacterial small subunit ribosomal RNA", at positions 355 to 857 of the family's 1533-position model. The record is from RNAcentral. Lineage: Bacteria; Bacillati; Actinomycetota; Actinomycetes.
UGGGGAAUCUUGCGCAAUGGGCGAAAGCCUGACGCAGCGACGCCGCGUGAGGGAGGAAGGCCUUCGGGUUGUAAACCUCUUUCAGGAGGGACGAAGCUACUCGGGUGAAUAGCCCAGAGGGUGACGGUACCUCCAGAAGAAGCCCCGGCUAACUACGUGCCAGCAGCCGCGGUAAUACGUAGGGGGCAAGCGUUGUCCGGAUUUACUGGGCGUAAAGCGCGUGUAGGCGGCCACACAGGUCCGUUGUGAAAACUGGAGGCUCAACCUCCAGACGUCGACGGAAACCGUAUGGCUAGAGUCCGGAAGAGGAGAGUGGAAUUCCUGGUGUAGCGGUGAAAUGCGCAGAUAUCAGGAAGAACACCAAUGGCGAAGGCAGCUCUCUGGGACGGUACUGACGCUGAGACGCGAAAGCGUGGGGAGCGAACAGGAUUAGAUACCCUGGUAGUCCACGCCGUAAAACGAUGGGUGCUAGGUGUGGGAGGUGUCGACUCCUUCCGUGCCGUAGCUAACG